This 254-nucleotide ribosomal RNA is filed under the name uncultured bacterium. RNAcentral's name for it is "partial 16S ribosomal RNA". It matches the Rfam family "Bacterial small subunit ribosomal RNA", at positions 524 to 776 of the family's 1533-position model. The record is from RNAcentral.
UACGUAGGGACCAAGCGUUGUUCGGAUUUACUGGGCGUAAAGGGCGCGUAGGCGGCUAUUCAAGUCAUCUGUGAAAUCUCCGGGCUUAACUCGGAACGGUCAGAUGAUACUGCUUUGCUAGAGUGCGGAAGGGGCAAUCGGAAUUCUUGGUGUAGCGGUGAAAUGCGUAGAUAUCAAGAGGAACACCUGAGGUGAAGACGGGUUGCUGGGCCGACACUGACGCUGAGUGCGCGAAAGCCAGGGGAGCAAACAGG